UAACCUGCCCAAGAGAUCGGGAUAACACCUGGAAACAGAUGCUAAUACCGGAUAACAACAGAUGAUGCCUAUCAACUGUUUAAAAGAUGGUUCUGCUAUCACUCUUGGAUGGACCUGCGGUGCAUUAGCUAGUUGGUAGGGUAACGGCCUACCAAGGCGAUGAUGCAUAGCCGAGUUAAGANACUGAUCGGCCACAUUGGGACUGAGACACGGCCCAAACUCCUACGGGAGGCAGCAGAU
This 240-nucleotide ribosomal RNA is filed under the name uncultured Lactobacillus sp. Its description in RNAcentral is "partial 16S ribosomal RNA". It matches the Rfam family "Bacterial small subunit ribosomal RNA", at positions 122 to 354 of the family's 1533-position model. Lineage: Bacteria; Bacillati; Bacillota; Bacilli; Lactobacillales; Lactobacillaceae. The record is from RNAcentral.